RNAcentral lists this long non-coding RNA (1669 nucleotides) under Homo sapiens (human). RNAcentral describes it as "non-protein coding lnc-RWDD3-1:2". The record is from RNAcentral. Lineage: Eukaryota; Metazoa; Chordata; Mammalia; Primates; Hominidae.
AAAGAAUGUUUUAGCAUGCAAAAUGCAACUUGGAAGACAUCCAUUCAGUUGGAUGGAGAGUAUUUAAUCAUUUAAAAAGUAGGCCAAAGAGACUUAUCUCAACCAUACUGCUAAAUAGUUAUGAGCUGCAUCAUACAUAAAUUAAGUGUGCUCUAACUGGGGGUAUGGAUAGACUCUUUCUUUAGUCAAUUAAGUGUUUACAGUAUUAGUAUCUACUUUAGUUAGUUAGAGUAAAGGAAUUAAAGAGACCAUUUUGCCAGUCACCAUGAGGUGUCUCAGUGUCUGAGGAGAAUUUGUGUGAACUGUCAGCUGAAAGCAUCGACAGCUUCCCAUUAGUAAUGAAUUAUGGAAAUAAUUUUAUUAAUUUCUUCACCUCAAUCAGAACAUGUUAGUGAAAGUUGCUCAACCAAACAUCAAAGAACCAUUGCAUUUUAACCUUUUAGUCUUUUACCGUGUAACCAGGAACAGCGAAGAAAUAAAUUAGUGUAGCAUUCCUUUAAAAAAAAAAUGCCUGGAGAUAAGGAGUGGACAUAAUUUUUUCUGUUUUUAAUUUAAUAGCAGGUUUAUGGUUUUAUGCAAAGCCAUUCACAUUACAUUUGACCCUCUGGGAGCUGCUUUUUUUUUUUUUCUGUGGAUAUAAUUUUGAGUCUUUAAUAAUCUGUUGUUAAACCCAGUCUGAGUUUGAUUAAUGAAUUGUGAUGAACCGGUGCAUUAAUUUGCAGGUUUGGUCUAAUGCCCUAAAAGGCUGCUUUGUUGCUGGUUAUUAAUGCUCAACUCUUCAAGAGGAGCCAUGGGAUGGCAGUGUGUCCCAAGUAAUGAACAAGUUACACAUUUGAGCAGUCCCAAUGAUAGAGCUGUAGCUCUAGAAGUGACCAUGGAGCUACAUUAUUGAAAGAAAAAAAUCCUGAUUUAGCUUAAUGCCCUAGAACAGGGGGCCGCAGACCUCCAAAUCUACAGGUCUCUGGAUGGAAUUCAGGGGAAUCUGUGAAUUUCAAUAGGAAAAAAAUCUUUAAUUAAUCUCCAACUGAAAUUUAACAUUGUUCAAUUAUGAAUGUAGGUGACAACCAUAGUAUUCUUAGCUGUAUCUGUGACUUUGUCAUCUCUAGAAAUCACAAAUAUUUCCAGAACAUGUUAUAGAGAUGCAAGUACCUCACUAUGUCAUUUGGGCUUGUCACUACCUCAGAAUUAUAGUAAGUAUGAGGACAGCUGCCUGACUUGUUAUUUAAUGUAAUAAAGAAGUACAUAUUUUACUAUCUUGUUCAUUUUUUAAAAAAUGACUGUAUUCAAUAUAAUUGGUUUCAUUUGUAAUUUUAUUUUAGAUAUCAAAACCAGGAAUCCAAGAAGGGGUUUAUGGCUCCAAAAUGGUUAAGAAUGCCCUUUUCUGAGUGACUGUUGUCUGUGCUGCCCCUUAGUGAUACUUUACCUGUUCCUCAGGGCUCUAUUUUCAGGAACAUGCAAGCUUCAGAUAUGUUACCAAUGCGGCCAUGAUAGCAAUGACUAAGUUGUGCAAACAUCAUCAACUUUGCAAUUACUCUCCUCCUCACUUUCCUCCUCCUAAGCUCUGGAAGCUAUGAACUGUUUGUUUUACUCACUGGUAUUUCCCCAACUCAUAUCUUAUUUGACACAUACUAGGCACUUCGUAAAUAUUUAAUAAAGGAGUGAUAGCUUU